This 256-nucleotide long non-coding RNA is filed under the name Salvia miltiorrhiza (redroot sage). RNAcentral describes it as "long non-coding RNA (SMIL_LNC008789)". The record is from RNAcentral. Lineage: Eukaryota; Viridiplantae; Streptophyta; Magnoliopsida; Lamiales; Lamiaceae.
UUUUUUUUAUCAACCUCUUCUGUCUUCUACCAUUAUUCAAUAAAACACGAAAAAAUUUCAAAAUUUUUCAGAAAUCUUCCAUUCCUUUUCAUAAAAUCUGAGGCUUAUUCAGAAAAUAUCAUAUUUUGUAAUGAAAUCUUAUAUUUCCAGCCACUUAUACGAUAUUGCUUACAUGAUAUCUAAAACUAACAACUAAGAAAAACAAGUAAGCACUUACCCUGUAUUCAUGGAGCGCCGCCAAAAAACCACACGAAUU